CCCCCCAGCAGUGAAUGGGUACCAGGUAUUAAUCGGGGGUUGUGUCCUGUCUCCUGGGGUCUGUUCCCUUCUGUCUCUCUCCGGCAUAUGACCACAUAUGUUGCGCCGACUAAACCAAACUUUCCAACUUUUUCCUGUCUCCUGGGGUCUGUUCCCUUCUCCUAUAAUUCCUUCCCCUUCUGUCUCUCUCCGGCAUAUGACCACAGAUGUUGCGCCGACUAAACAAAACUAUACAACUUUUCGGAUAUAAUGGACAAGGUCAGAGGGUCAGACAUCCACGGGGACCGACUGAGAAUAGUUUUUUAAUCAACCACAAUAGCAUCUGCUGGCCACCUGCCCCUCCUCCCAUAUCUGCUGCCCCAUCCUUCGGUAUGUGGAGUCUUUUAAAUCCACUCGAUGAAACAUUUUCCUUCGUGUGUUCCCAUUCAAAUGAAGUCGUACAUAUUUACACCACAGCAAAGUCUUAUGCAUCAAUCCAGGACGUCAGUGUUAUGGAGAAUAGCCAGGUGUGUGUGACUGCUGGUGAUAAUAUGGGUGGGCGGUAUUAAGUUAGGUUGAUCAAAAACGUUCAACUAAUGUCAAGAGGUGUUUCCUGGCUUACCUUUGUGUUCAGUCAAAUUAUUGCAACAAACGCCGGAACAAUUAUAUAUCAUUUGAAAGCUUACAAGUUGUUGUUUUUGUGUGGUAUAAUGACAAAUGAAGAAAUGGAACUUAUAUAUGCAUGAAAAAAUAAAACUUGAAUGAAAAUUUUGAGGGA
Eriocheir sinensis (Chinese mitten crab) is the source of this 757-nucleotide long non-coding RNA. RefSeq lists it as uncharacterized. The transcript is spliced from 2 exons. The record is from RefSeq and is a predicted model, not a curated record. NCBI's taxonomy places the organism in Eukaryota, Metazoa, Arthropoda, Malacostraca, Decapoda, Varunidae.